GAGAGACAUGAAGAAUUUUAUCCAUCUAUUCUGUAUACAGAAUGAUGAAUUCUAAACAUGCACUACCAUCUGAUCUCUC
This 79-nucleotide small nucleolar RNA is filed under the name Nelumbo nucifera (sacred lotus). Lineage: Eukaryota; Viridiplantae; Streptophyta; Magnoliopsida; Proteales; Nelumbonaceae. The record is from RNAcentral.